UUCUAAUUCGGCUAUACUGAACAUUUUUAUAUUUAACAUUUGAAUUCCUAGCAAUUCUCAUGUAGUGACCAACCCUGUAAGCUUUAUUUGGUCAGAAGCGCCACUUGUGUUUCAAGCGCAAGAGCUGGUAAUCCAGGGCUAGUGUGCAUUUACAAAUCCUGACCGCAUGCGCAAGCAGAAGGCAUCUCCGUUUCAGAUCUUCAAAGGGUGGAAAGUGAUCUUUUAUAAAUGCUACUUUCGAUUAAAGAAGGCUAGAGAUGGCCGCCCCCAUGGAACAAGGGUAAAGCAAAAGAUGCACUAAAAUAAUUUGACUUCUAUGUAUUCACAACA
Pelobates cultripes (western spadefoot toad) is the source of this 330-nucleotide non-coding RNA. NCBI's taxonomy places the organism in Eukaryota, Metazoa, Chordata, Amphibia, Anura, Pelobatidae. The record is from the annotation of a GenBank genome assembly.